This 230-nucleotide ribosomal RNA is filed under the name uncultured Alicycliphilus sp. RNAcentral describes it as "partial 16S ribosomal RNA". It matches the Rfam family "Bacterial small subunit ribosomal RNA", at positions 553 to 774 of the family's 1533-position model. The record is from RNAcentral. Lineage: Bacteria; Pseudomonadati; Pseudomonadota; Betaproteobacteria; Burkholderiales; Comamonadaceae.
AGCUCAGCACUGGGCGUAAAGCGUGCGCAGGUGGUUUUGUAAGACAGAGGUGAAAUCCCCGGGCUCAACCUGGGAACUGCCUUUGUGACUGCAAGGCUGGAGUGCGGCAGAGGGGGAUGGAAUUCCGCGUGUAGCAGUGAAAUGCGUAGAUAUGCGGAGGAACACCGAUGGCGAAGGCAAUCCCCUGGGCCUGCACUGACGCUCAUGCACGAAAGCGUGGGGAGCAAACA